This is a long non-coding RNA of Tribolium madens (black flour beetle), 720 nucleotides long. RefSeq lists it as uncharacterized. The record is from RefSeq and is a predicted model, not a curated record. The transcript has 3 exons. NCBI's taxonomy places the organism in Eukaryota, Metazoa, Arthropoda, Insecta, Coleoptera, Tenebrionidae.
CCGCUUGCCGACCUUGAUCAACACAUUGUUGGUGUUCCAAGGUUAAUGAAAUGUUUGAAGACUUACUUGAGGUCUCUGGGGGCGGUAACAAGGGCCACGUAGAACCAUCUCCACUUUCCAGCGGCAAGCCUAGGAAGAAACACACAACGGCACUGAUAGCCACCAAGACUGCAAAUAUCGCUGUCAUGACCAGUAUCCGCCGUAUUAGGACACGAACUGGUCUUGUCUUCAGACUUUUGUGUCGCGUGGCGCUUUCUCUACUUGACUCCUGGCCAACGGCUGCUUUCCCGCUCUCCAAAUCCGCCGCCUGGCGAUUUUCACGAUUCUGCCAUCAACAAAAAGUUUCUUUUACUUUUCGAGGUUAAGUUGUUAUUGACAUUUUGAAAUGUCAAAAGGGGUGCAGAUUCUAUUUUUGUAAAAAUUUGAAAUUUGACGGCAUUGUUCAUUUAAUAAAAACAAAACAGAGGUUAAUACACAUUCAGAAAAUUAAAAUAUUUAUAUAUUUAAUAAGCUAAUUAACAAUAAAAAUAUCUUGCACUGGAUUAAUUUUAAUAUAGGUAACUAACAAUACACCGUAAAUACUAACUCAUAAUUUGGGAACAAAUAAACUUUUAUUUUAAAAUUUAGUUUAAAUAGGUAUAUUUUAAACGAUUUAAUAAUAUUUUAAUAACUUCAAUAGACUACAGUUUCAAAUAAUAUCGCAACAAAUGUUUAUUAUGU